Molecule: long non-coding RNA, 225 nt
Filed under: Elaeis guineensis (African oil palm)
Lineage: Eukaryota; Viridiplantae; Streptophyta; Magnoliopsida; Arecales; Arecaceae
Description: long non-coding RNA (EGUI_LNC059405)
Source: RNAcentral
AGCCGAUUGUGUUAGAAAAUAUUCCUAAAGUCAAUCUUUAUAAUUUAUAUAUAUAUUAUAAAAUAAUAAAAGUUAUUUGAUAUAUUCAUUACAAAGUUACAUCUUUCUUAAUUAAACUCUAAUAUUAUGAUGAAGUCCUUAGAACUAUAUGAUAUUGAUAAAGGAGAAUUUAUAGAAUAGUUUCUGUACUACCGGCUUAGUAUUUGAACCUAUGAAGUCACGCAC